RNAcentral lists this transfer RNA (73 nucleotides) under Camelus ferus (Wild Bactrian camel). It matches the Rfam family "tRNA". From Rfam's summary of the family: Transfer RNA (tRNA) molecules are approximately 80 nucleotides in length. Their secondary structure includes four short double-helical elements and three loops (D, anti-codon, and T loops). Lineage: Eukaryota; Metazoa; Chordata; Mammalia; Artiodactyla; Camelidae. The record is from Rfam by way of RNAcentral.
GAGGGUAUAGCUCAAUCGGUAGAGUGUAUGCUUAGCAUGCUUGAGGUCCUGGGUUCUAUCCCCAGCACCUCCA